RNAcentral lists this ribosomal RNA (169 nucleotides) under Selenia dissecta. RNAcentral's name for it is "5.8S ribosomal RNA". It matches the Rfam family "5.8S ribosomal RNA". From Rfam's summary of the family: 5.8S ribosomal RNA (5.8S rRNA) is a component of the large subunit of the eukaryotic ribosome. It is transcribed by RNA polymerase I as part of the 45S precursor that also contains 18S and 28S rRNA. Functionally, it is thought that 5.8S rRNA may be involved in ribosome translocation. Lineage: Eukaryota; Viridiplantae; Streptophyta; Magnoliopsida; Brassicales; Brassicaceae. The record is from RNAcentral.
AAGUCUAAUACGACUCUCGGCAACGGAUAUCUCGGCUCUCGCAUCGAUGAAGAACGUAGCGAAAUGCGAUACUUGGUGUGAAUUGCAGAAUCCCGUGAACCAUCGAGUCUUUGAACGCAAGUUGCGCCCCAAGCCUUCUGGCCGAGGGCACGUGUGCCUGGGUGUCACA